Molecule: ribosomal RNA, 435 nt
Filed under: uncultured bacterium
Lineage: Bacteria
Description: partial 16S ribosomal RNA
Rfam family: Bacterial small subunit ribosomal RNA
Source: RNAcentral
AGCGAACGCUGGCGGCAGGCUUAACACAUGCAAGUCGAACGGGCUUCUUCGGAAGUCAGUGGCAGACGGGUGAGUAACACGUGGGAACGUGCCCUUCGGUUCGGAAUAACUCAGGGAAACUUGAGCUAAUACCGGAUACGCCCUUUUGGGGAAAGGUUGACUGCCGAAGGAUCGGCCCGCGUCUGAUUAGCUUGUUGGUGGGGUAACGGCCUACCAAGGCGACGAUCAGUAGCUGGUCUGAGAGGAUGAUCAGCCACACUGGGACUGAGACACGGCCCAGACUCCUACGGGAAGCAGCAGUGGGGAAUAUUGGACCAUGGGCGCAAGCCUGAUCCAGCCAUGCCGCGUGAGUGAUGAAGGCCUUAGGGUUGUAAAGCUCUUUUGUCCGGGACGAUAAUGACGGUACCGGAAGAAUAAGCCCCGGCUAACUUCGUG